This 1373-nucleotide long non-coding RNA is filed under the name Ficedula albicollis (Collared flycatcher). RNAcentral describes it as "lncRNA (ENSFALG00000023598.1)". Lineage: Eukaryota; Metazoa; Chordata; Aves; Passeriformes; Muscicapidae. The record is from RNAcentral.
AUGAGAGGGUUAAGAGGCAGCAGGCAGGGUGGAGGAAUUCCUGAACCUGUGAACAACUCCAUGUAUUACCCUUAUUUUACUGACAACAGGGACACCAAGUUUAUCCCAGGCAUGACCAAGCAAGCCAUGGAGGGGGAAACUCUGCUCCUCUCAUGUCCAUUUUUCGGCAAAAAUGAGGACAACCUUUCCUCCCUUAACAACUUGGAAAUGAGUGGCAAAACUAUAAAUAUUUUAAAAACAAUUCACUGAUUUACCACUUUAAAUUCCAGCUUAAAUAGCAAGAAGAGACAGUAUCACUUUGCUUACCUACUGUACACUGCAUUUCUACUUAGUCAGCUUCUUACACCCUGUAAAUGUAUGUUAGCACAUUCACAGCUUUUGAGCAAAGAGGCUGAAAUCCAAAUUUCAAAGAGCUGAGUUAUUUUUUAAUCUGGAGAAAUACACAUUAAAAACAAUUUUUAAAAAACCACAGGCAGUUAAUCAUUGAACACAACUGCCAUGCCAGCAAAUCUGUGAGAAUUUUGUCAUCUUGAGGUGGUCACUGAAGGUGUCAGAUUGGGCAGGGACUUCAAGAUCACUUAGUUCCAACUCCCCUACCAUGUCUUACUGUACAAUUUCAAUUUAAAUAAAAUCUUAUUUAGCUGAUGGUAAUGACUACCCUUCAUGUAAACUCUUCUUGCUCUUCAACAAACCUAAUUUUAGGCUCUAAUCAGCUUGCAACUCAACAGAAGCAAUCAGAGUACUGGCAUGAGCUGCUAUAGGAAUAGAUUUUAACCAUUAAUUGUAACUUAUCAUGUCUUGUUUGUCAAACCUUUAUGGUCACUUGGAAGAAUUCCUGACUGUAGCAAUUCUUGAUUCUUGCAGAUUAUGUUGAGACAACAACAGUAAUGAAUUAAUUCCGUUUCCUUCACAUAAGGAAAUAAAAGCAGAAUCAUUAAGGCUAGAAAAGCCCUCUAAGAUCAUUGAAUCAACCAUUAACCCAUCACUGCCAUGUCCACCACUACACCAUGUACCUAAGCACCACAUCUACCAAGAGGUAGUAUUAAAAUCCUCAUUUUCCAGAUAGGAAACUGCAGCACAGAAGAAUGCAAUCACAUGGCCAAGAUGACAGGCAGAAAACCCUAAUUUUAACCUUUAGCUUAAAGGUUCUGAUGUACAUUUUCCCUGCUCGGUACAGUUGACUGCUGUUCUUCCAAGUCCUUGGAGUGACAAGCUCACCAAGCACUUCAGAAAAUCUACAUUUUCAGACACAAACUGACCUAUACUGCAACCACGAAAACGAAUGCAAACAUCAGAAGCCACACUUACACAUAUCAUUAAGCACUUGGCAAUAUUCUUUUAAACCAAGGCACGUAACCAGAGGGUCCUUCUUU